This 896-nucleotide ribosomal RNA is filed under the name uncultured archaeon. Its description in RNAcentral is "bacterial SSU rRNA". It matches the Rfam family "Archaeal small subunit ribosomal RNA", at positions 21 to 903 of the family's 1478-position model. The record is from RNAcentral.
CCCGACUGCUAUUUGGGUGAGGAUAAGCCAUGCGAGUCGAAUGGGAUACCUAAAUUUCCCAUGGCGAACUGCUCAAUAACACAUGAUCAACUUACCCUAUAGAGAAAAAUAACCUCGGGAAACUGAGGAUAAUGUUUCAUAGUUGAAAAGGCUUGGAAAAGUUUUUCGACCAGAGGGAUAAGAAAAAUGGUUUUUAUCCGCUAUAGGAUAGGAUCGUGGUCGAUUAUGGUCGUUGGUGAGGUAAUGGCUCACCAAGCCGAUAAUCGAUAGGGGCCGUGAGAGCGGGAGCCCCGAGAUGGGUACUGAGACAGCGACCCAGGCCUUACGAGGCGCAGCAGGCGCGGAACCUCCGCAAUACACGAAAGUGUGACGGGGUUACCCAAAGUGUUCAAUUUUGAACUGUGGUAGGUGAGUAAUGUUCCCUACUAGAAAGGAGAGGGCAAGGCUGGUGCCAGCCGCCGCGGUAAAACCAGCUCUUCAAGUGGUCGGGAUAAUUAUUGGGCUUAAAGUGUCCGUAGCCGGUUUAGUAAGUUCCUGGUAAAAUCGGGUAGCUUAACUAUCUGCAUGCUAGGAAUACUGCUAUACUAGAGGACGGGAGAGGUCUGAGGUACUACAGGGGUAGGGGUGAAAUCUUAUAAUCCUUGUAGGACCACCAGUGGCGAAGGCGUCAGACUGGAACGUGCCUGACGGUGAGGGACGAAAGCCAGGGGAGCAAACCGGAUUAGAUACCCGGGUAGUCCUGGCCGUAAACGAUGCAUACUAGGUGAUGGCAUGGCCAUGAGCCGUGUCAGUGCCGUAGGGAAACCGUUAAGUGUGCCGCCUGGGAAGUACGGUCGCAAGGCUAAAACUUAAAGGAAUUGGCGGGGGAGCACCACAAGGGGUGAAGUCUGCGGUUC